AUUGAACGCUGGCGGCAUGCUUUACACAUGCAAGUCGGACGGCAGCACAGAGAGGCUUGCUUCUUCGGUGGCGAGUGGCGAACGGGUGAGUAAUAUAUCGGAACGUACCGAGUAAUGGGGGAUAACUAAUCGAAAGAUUAGCUAAUACCGCAUAUUCUCUGAGGAGGAAAGCAGGGGACCUUAGCGCCUUGCGUUAUUCGAGCGGCUGGUAUCUGAUGAGCUAGUUGGUGGGGUAAAGGCCUACCAAGGCGACGAUCAGUAGCGUGUCUGAGAGGAUGAGCCGCGACACCGGGACUGAGACACGGCCCAGAGUCCUACGGGAGGGAGCAGUGGGGAAUUUUGGAAAUGGGGAGCAAGCCUGAUCCAGCCAUACCGCGUGUGUGAAGAAGGCGUACGGGUUGUAAAGGACAUUUGGCAGGGAAGAAAAGGUUGUAGCUAAUAGCAAGAGCUGAUGACGGUACCUGAAGAAUAAGCACCGGCUAACUACGUG
This 490-nucleotide ribosomal RNA is filed under the name uncultured bacterium. Its description in RNAcentral is "partial 16S ribosomal RNA". It matches the Rfam family "Bacterial small subunit ribosomal RNA", at positions 30 to 507 of the family's 1533-position model. The record is from RNAcentral.